Molecule: non-coding RNA, 163 nt
Organism: Nematostella vectensis (starlet sea anemone)
Lineage: Eukaryota; Metazoa; Cnidaria; Anthozoa; Actiniaria; Edwardsiidae
Source: Rfam
GACUAGGGGAAUCCGACUGUUUAAUUAAAACAAAGCAUUGCGAUGGCCGGAAACGGUGUUGACGCAAUGUGAUUUCUGCCCAGUGCUCUGAAUGUCANAGUGAAGAAAUUCAACCAAGCGCGGGUAAACGGCGGGAGUAACUAUGACUCUCUUAAGGUAGCCG